Molecule: non-coding RNA, 28 nt
Filed under: Homo sapiens (human)
Lineage: Eukaryota; Metazoa; Chordata; Mammalia; Primates; Hominidae
Source: RNAcentral
UGUGAUGAUGCCAUCAUGAUGUUGAAGC